UGAGCAGCAUUGCUGAAAUUAAGGGAAGGAAAGAUUUAAAAAGGAAGGAUAUUACCACAAGCAUUUUUUAGGCUUUCAGCCUUUGGUCUAUGGAAUAGUUUGGCUUUUACUGCUCAGCUUUACAAAACACUUCAAAAAGUAUUGAUGUAGCAGAGGGAGGAAUAUGAGUAAUCGAGCAAUAUAGACUCUUACAGCUCACAUUUGUAUGACUCAUAGUAUUCAGGCUAUGAAAAGUAGGACAAGAUUAAAUGCAAGGAAUAAUGCAAACAUUUGUGUCAGUUUAUUUUUUCUAUCAAUAACUUUAAAUGAAAAAAUAUUUCCUUGUUCUCUUCUAUAUUUCAAGAAGGAAAAGUAAUUCACAGCUCCACCUUCACUGCUCUGCUCAGCGAAGACCAAGGACAAAUGGCAGGAAAACCUGGAGUGUUCUGCUGCAGGUCGGGAGCAGCCGCUAGGAGGGGCUGACUGCCUUGAAGAGAAGGUACAACCAAGCAUUGUCCAGGUGUGAAGACAAUGUCCCACAUAAGAAGGAUGUGGAACUGAUGAAGUGAGCCCACAGGAGGGCCUUGAAGCUGAUGAAGAGAAUGAUAUGAUACCUGCCAGUGCCUGAAGAGGGUCUAUGAGAAAGCUGGAGAGAUCAGAGUUCCAAUAUGUCCAUGCUCUUGAAAGGGAAGCACCUUAUACACAGCUCAUUUAUCAAGGCAAAAGUGUUUAACUAUGACCCUAAGCACAUGCUGCUGCUUGUUAGUUUAACUGAAGCUACACAAACAUGAUAAAAGGUAACUGACCUUUAUU
Zonotrichia albicollis (white-throated sparrow) is the source of this 792-nucleotide long non-coding RNA. RefSeq lists it as uncharacterized. Lineage: Eukaryota; Metazoa; Chordata; Aves; Passeriformes; Passerellidae. The record is from RefSeq and is a predicted model, not a curated record.